RNAcentral lists this ribosomal RNA (253 nucleotides) under uncultured bacterium. RNAcentral's name for it is "partial 16S ribosomal RNA". It matches the Rfam family "Bacterial small subunit ribosomal RNA", at positions 524 to 776 of the family's 1533-position model. The record is from RNAcentral.
UACGGAGGGUGCAAGCAUUGAUCGGAAUUACUGGGCGUAAAGGGCGCGUAGGCGGUUCAGAAAGUCAGAUGUGAAAUUCCGGGGCUCAACCCCGGAGCUGCAUUUGAAACUUCUAAACUAGAGUUUAGUUAGGGAAAACGGAAUUCCACGUGUAGCGGUGAAAUGCGUAGAUAUGUGGAAGAACACCAGUGGUGAAGACGGUUUUCUGGGCUAACACUGACGCUGAGGCGCGAAAGCAAGGGGAGCAAACAGG